UGGUUCUGUAGCUCAGUUGGUAGAGCAGUGGACUGAAAAUCCGCGUGUCGUUGGUUCAAUUCCAAUCGGAACCACGAA
Molecule: transfer RNA, 78 nt
Filed under: Fibrobacter succinogenes subsp. succinogenes S85
Lineage: Bacteria; Pseudomonadati; Fibrobacterota; Fibrobacteria; Fibrobacterales; Fibrobacteraceae
Description: tRNA-Phe
Rfam family: tRNA
About the family: Transfer RNA (tRNA) molecules are approximately 80 nucleotides in length. Their secondary structure includes four short double-helical elements and three loops (D, anti-codon, and T loops).
Source: RNAcentral